GAUGAACGCUGGCGGCGUGCUUAACACAUGCAAGUCGAACGGAGUUUAAGAAGGAAGCUUGCUUUCAUUUUAAACUUAGUGGCGGACGGGUGAGUAACGCGUGAGGAACCUGCCCUUCAGUGGGGAACAACAACUAGAAAUGGUUGCUAAUACCGCAUAAUGUCGGAGAGCCGCAUGACAUUCCGACCAAAGGAUUUAUUCGCUGAAGGAUGGCCUCGCGUCCGAUUAGAUAGUUGGUGAGGUAACGGCCCACCAAGUCUACGAUCGGUAGCCGAACUGAGAGGUUGAUCGGCCACAUUGGGACUGAGACACGGCCCAGACUCCUACGGGAGGCAGCAGUGGGGAAUAUUGGGCAAUGGGCGAAAGCCUGACCCAGCAACGCCGCGUGAAGGAUGACGGUCUUCGGAUUGUAAA
Molecule: ribosomal RNA, 414 nt
Filed under: bacterium MA2022
Lineage: Bacteria
Description: bacterial SSU rRNA
Rfam family: Bacterial small subunit ribosomal RNA
Source: RNAcentral